Molecule: ribosomal RNA, 486 nt
Filed under: uncultured bacterium
Lineage: Bacteria
Description: partial 16S ribosomal RNA
Rfam family: Bacterial small subunit ribosomal RNA
Source: RNAcentral
GACGAACGCUGGCGGCGUGCUUAACACAUGCAAGUCGAACGCUGAAGCCCUGGCUUUUGUUGGGUUGGAUGAGUGGCGAACGGGUGAGUAACACGUGAGUAACCUGCCCUCUUCUUUGGGAUAACGCCCGGAAACGGGUGCUAAUACUGGAUAUUCACUGAUCUUCGCAUGGGGGUUGGUGGAAAGGUUUGUUCUGGUGGGGGAUGGGCUCGCGGCCUAUCAGCUUGUUGGUGGGGUGAUGGCCUACCAAGGCUUUGACGGGUAGCCGGCCUGAGAGGGUGACCGGUCACAUUGGGACUGAGAUACGGCCCAGACUCCUACGGGAGGCAGCAGUGGGGAAUAUUGCACAAUGGGCGAAAGCCUGAUGCAGCGACGCCGCGUGAGGGAUGGAGGCCUUCGGGUUGUAAACCUCUUUCACUCAUGGUCAAGCCGCAACUGUGGGUUGUGGUGAGGGUAGUGGGUAAAGAAGCGCCGGCUAACUACGUG